This 468-nucleotide ribosomal RNA is filed under the name uncultured bacterium. RNAcentral describes it as "partial 16S ribosomal RNA". It matches the Rfam family "Bacterial small subunit ribosomal RNA", at positions 28 to 507 of the family's 1533-position model. The record is from RNAcentral.
GACGGACGCUGGCGGCGUGCUUAACACAUGCAAGUCGAACGGAAAGGCCCUGCUUUUGUGGGGUGCUCGAGUGGCGAACGGGUGAGUAACACGUGAGUAACCUGCCCUUGACUUUGGUAUAACUUCAGGAAACUGAGGCUAAUACCGGAUAGGAGCUCCUGCUGCAUGGUGGGGGUUGGAAAGUUUCGGCGGUUGGGGAUGGACUCGCGGCUUAUCAGCUUGUUGGUGGGGUAGUGGCUUACCAAGGCUUUGACGGGUAGCCGGCCUGAGAGGGUGACCGGCCACAUUGGGACUGAGAUACGGCCCAGACUCCUACGGGAGGCAGCAGUGGGGAAUAUUGCACAAUGGGCGGAAGCCUGAUGCAGCAACGCCGCGUGCGGGAUGACGGCCUUCGGGUUGUAAACCGCUUUCGCCUGUGACGAAGCGUGAGUGACGGUAAUGGGUAAAGAAGCACCGGCUAACUACGUG